This 377-nucleotide ribosomal RNA is filed under the name uncultured bacterium. RNAcentral describes it as "bacterial SSU rRNA". It matches the Rfam family "Bacterial small subunit ribosomal RNA", at positions 28 to 404 of the family's 1533-position model. The record is from RNAcentral.
GAUGAACGCUAGCGGCAGGCCUAAUACAUGCAAGUCGAGGGGCAGCGCGGUAGCAAUACUGGCGGCGACCGGCGCACGGGUGCGUAACGCGUAUGGAACUUACCCUUUACUAGGGGAUAGCCCGGAGAAAUUCGGAUUAAUACCUUAUAGUAUGAUUGACUGGCAUCAGUUGGUUAUUAAAGAUUUAUCGGUAAAGGAUAGGCAUGCGUAUGAUUAGCUAGUUGGCGGGGUAAUGGCCCACCAAGGCGAUGAUCAUUAGGGGGUCUGAGAGGAUGAUCCCCCACACUGGUACUGAGAUACGGACCAGACUCCUACGGGAGGCAGCAGUAGGGAAUAUUGGACAAUGGGCGAGAGCCUGAUCCAGCCAUGCCGCGUGC